AGCUUGCUACAGCAAUGAAAGCAGCCACCACCACAUGCAUUUGGCAGGAACUUAAAGGCAGGCUGAAGAGUGAGAAAGCUUUUCAUGAAGAAAAGGGGAAGGCUUCAGGAGUGCUCUGAUUGGAGGUUUUUGGCCUGGGGAAGCUGGAGCAGGAAAGUAGUCGAGUUGCUAGAUCUGCGCAGACUGAAACAGCAGGAAAAAUGGAACAAUGCAUGGACACUCUGGACUGCUGGCCAAAUGCUGGAGAGGCUUCCUCUGCUCUCUGGCAUCCCCUUGGAUGAAGUUGGGUGAGGAUGUCUACAAAACAAUCAAAAUUUUGUGUCCCUCCAGCCUGGCAAAAUGAGAGAAUCAAAGCCAGAUUUUACCCACUUGGGUCAUUGAAUCCACAAUUACUUGCUGUCAUGAUGCUGAAAAGAAUGCCCAUCCUGGCUUCUCCAAAUGACGAAAAUUCAAUGGCGAGGUCUCUCCUGGUGUGAUGAAGUUCCACUCUCUGCUUCCAGAAGUGAGAGAAGACCCAGGAGUGCCAUUCUUAAGCCACUUUGGAAGCCGCUGGACUGUGAGUCUCUUAUGCCACCUUCUCGACCCAUCUGGAGUAAUGAGGAUCACGGCGUCUCCUUCAUAGGGUUGACUGAGGAUUAAAUGAGAUAAUGCCGGCCAUGCAUCCAGCAGAGGACCCGGGACAGGGGUUUGCUUAACCCACGUUAGUUGCCUUCAGUGAACCGAGAGCCUCCUUUGCUGUCUGCCUCUGCCUGCCAGUUUUAUUGUUCAGUCACGCAGGAAUCUUGAGAAAAACCAUGGAAGAUUUAUUGCAAGCUUUUCAACCUUUGCUUCCUUUAUUUGUUAACCUCCAUCCAACCAGAGUCUUUUAUUUUCCCCUUCAUAAGCCCCUUGCGGGCUCUGGCAGGCUCUGAAAGAGUACUUUUGAUAAACCGCUUGGACCCAACGCUCACCCUGGCUGCUCUGUCUUGCUGAUGGCUCGUCGAAGAGUGCUCCAAAGAGCACGGAACUUGAAAAAGGCACAUCCCCACCCUAGAAAUGUCAGGGUUUCCAAAAUGAAAUGCCAAUGCAUUGCCCGAAGGAAGAACCAUGCCUGGCAUGACCCAAAGUAAGAGUGGUUUAGUCUCCGGAACAUUAUGGCAUUUCAGUCAACACUCAUUCAGCAUGCGUGUACCAGCACCCCUUCGUGCUUGCCUGUGUGCCGGAGGUGGGGACACAGUGGUGAACAAGACACGGUUCUUUCUCUCAAGCAGUGCCUAGGUAAGCCUGAAGACAGGAGGGUGGAGGUGGUUACUUAUUGUGACAGCUAGGGGCUUCUCCACACAGUAUUGUAGCUGAUAUUCUCAUGGUUUCCCUUCGUUUAUCUAUUCUAUCUUGAUGGAAGUUUUGCCAUGUUUAAACUUCCAGAGAACAGUGAAAUGGAGGCUUCUGGAAGUGUUCUGGGGCCCUAUAUCAGGCUCCCUUCUCUUCUUUACCUAUGCUCACUCCUUAGACGAUCUCACGCUGCCUCUGCCAAAGGCACUUGGGCCAUUUUUCUGUGUCCCAAAUUCAAAUUGUAAUUCAAACAUGGUUCU
This is a long non-coding RNA of Rhinopithecus roxellana (golden snub-nosed monkey), 1571 nucleotides long. RefSeq lists it as uncharacterized. The record is from RefSeq and is a predicted model, not a curated record. NCBI's taxonomy places the organism in Eukaryota, Metazoa, Chordata, Mammalia, Primates, Cercopithecidae. The transcript has 4 exons.